AAAAAAAAAGUGUGGGUUGCUAAAUGUUCUGGGCCCUGUUGGACAAUUAGGAUGAUUUGAAAUGAAAGGACUCACAGGUGACUUCCGUGAGUACAGUAAUUCAAUUUAAAAUCAGCCUAUUAUAGAGAGACCCACAUGCUGUGGGAGCAUUUGAGUUCAGUCUUUUCUGCCCACAGAGAGAGUCCUUCUCAUUUCACUGAUCUUGCCACCCAUUUUCCCUCCCUCCCACCGAGUCCUGCUGGGAUGAAGCGGUCCUUUGAAAGACAUCAGAACGUUGGGAUUUGAUUCUGCAUUCAGUGACCAUUUGUGACUUCAGAGCAUUCAUGAUGAAGCGUGCCCUUCUGCCUGUCCUCAGAGAUGGAGAGAAAUACUGGGGUGCCACGAAGUCCACGUCCUCACACAGGGGCCCUGGAUCAUGGCCAGAUAUGAAGAGGAAAUCAAUCUAAUUUUUGGUUAAGAAACAUGCUACCUCUCUGAGUCCAGAAACUGAACUGUUUGGAGAAGACACGAUGAAGAUGCCUCCACAGACCAUAAGCUGUGCAUGAGAAGAUCAAGAAUAAACUUUGGGAAGGGUUAGUUCCUGUGAAGAGAAGUUCUGAUGAGGAUAAGAGGGAAGAAAGAUUUCCAAGCUCCAAGGAUGAAUUCAUUUUUAAUGUGAAAUGUCAGCAAGUGAGGAAGAUAUAGGAUGUGCCUAAAAGAAGGAAGAGACAGAGAGACCAUCCUCAAUAGAAUGGGGCUGUAUAGAACACAAAGGAAUAAAGAAGAGAAAAAAAGAAAGAAAAGAAAAAAAGAGAGAGAAAAUAUUUUUUAGGGCAAAAUAUUUCUUUUGGGCAUUAGCCUUUCUUUUGAAAGGGUUAAUGGAUGAUGACUAGUACCACAGAGCAUGGCCAAGGAUCCUCUGGUCUCGUGGGGCAUAGAAAUAAAUAUAAGGUUAAUAUGU
This is a long non-coding RNA of Monodelphis domestica (gray short-tailed opossum), 940 nucleotides long. RefSeq lists it as uncharacterized. Lineage: Eukaryota; Metazoa; Chordata; Mammalia; Didelphimorphia; Didelphidae. The record is from RefSeq and is a predicted model, not a curated record.